GGAAGUCGAAAUCCGCUAAGGAGUGUGUAACAACUCACCGGC
Molecule: ribosomal RNA, 42 nt
Filed under: Alexandrium margalefii
Lineage: Eukaryota; Dinophyceae; Gonyaulacales; Pyrocystaceae
Description: partial Eukaryotic large subunit ribosomal RNA
Source: RNAcentral